Molecule: ribosomal RNA, 379 nt
Filed under: uncultured eukaryote
Lineage: Eukaryota
Description: SSU rRNA
Rfam family: Eukaryotic small subunit ribosomal RNA
Source: RNAcentral
AGCUCCAAUAGCGUAUAUUUAAGUUGUUGCAGUUAAAAGCUCGUAGUUGGAUUUUGGGUCGGGACGACCGGUCCGCCGUUCCGGUGUGCACUGGUCGUCCCUUCCUUCUUGCCGGGGACGCGCUCCUGGCAUUAAUUUGUCGGGACGUGGAUUCGGCGAUGUUACUUUGAAAAAUUAGAGUGUUCAAAGCAAGCCAUCGCUCUGAAUACAUUAGCAUGGAAUAACACUAUAGGACUCUGGUCUUAUUUUGUUGGUUUUCGAGACUGGAGUAAUGAUUAAUAGGGACAGUCGGGGGCAUCCGUAUUUCAUUGUCAGAGGUGAAAUUCUUGGAUUUAUGAAAGACGAACUUCUGCGAAAGCAUUUGCCAAGGAUGUUUUCA